ACCAACCAGCUAUCCUUUGUCUUUCACCCUUCUGGGAGGCCAGGCAGAAAGCCAUGCUCAAGGGCUCUUCUUUGAGCCUGGCCACUGCCCCAAGCCCAGGUUGGGGAGGCGAAGAAAGGAGCCUACACUGAGGUCCACGUGGUACCUGUGUGUGGUGUUUGGCACCUUGUCCUUUCUUCUUAGUGCUGCCUUCUUCUUUGGUUCCUCACCCACUGAACCUAUGAGACAGCCAAUGAGGUCUCUCCAGCUGGCUGGCAGGGAACAUGGCAGAGAGCAGGUCUGCCCACAGAGGAGUGAUUUGGCUAUGUGUCUGAGGAGACAAACGCACUGUGCCUCAUGCUGCUUAUGCUGCCCCAGUGAUGCCCUGGGGGCCAUUUGUCUUGGAGGGCCAGCCAGUUCUUCCAGGCUCUGCCCUUCUCUCAGGACUCAGUGGGCCUUCUCUUGCCUCCCAUGCCACCAUACAGAUCAGUCUCUGCUUCUAGUCUGGGGGCAGGGAGUGCUCAGAGAAGUGCAGCUUUUAGGGAGGGAGAGCAGACCUGUGUGAAAGUGACUCAGAGGAGACUUGAGAACCCCUUUUGAGACUUUGCUGACCUGCAGCCACUAUGAGUAUCCUGACUGGGAUAGACUGGAAGACUUGACUGGGAAGAUGGAUGAGUGGAUGGAUGGAUGAAAGAAAAGGAAAGGUGGGAGGGAGGACAAAAGCACAGAUAGGUAGUAAAUAGGUGUGUAUGGAAGGACAGACAGGCUUGGGUAAGUAUAAGGAUAGUUGGAUGGUGGGUGGGUGGAUAAUGAAGAAGAUAGAAGAAAAAGGAUGGAUGGAUGGAUGGAUGGAUGGAUGGAUGGAUGGAAACUUCCUGAAAGAUUGAUAAACUAGUGGAUGGAUAGAUGGAUGAGUGGAAUUGGAGACUCAAGGAAAGGCAUAUAUAGUCAUGUAGACAGACAGAAUGGUGGGUAGAUAAAUAGACCACUGGGUAGUCUGAAGAGGGACAAGUGACUAGAUAGCAGGUGGGAGGUACUGUGAUGGUGAUACUUGAGUUGGCCUGCAGUUCAGUAUUGGUAGUGCUACAGCAGAGUUCUUCACCUGGUAGAAUCCUAAAUCCCUGUUUUCCCAAGUGGGGACCAUGCCCAGCACAGCUGUAAUGCAAGGGCCUCCUGUAUCCACUGACCCCACCCCACUCAUCUGUGCCAUAUUGUCUGGUUGUGGCAGCCUAGACUGAUGUUUUCCUGUCUUCCUCCUAGCUGAAGAGGAGAAUGAGGCCCUUAAAUGUUUAUAGCUGCUCCUAUGGACAAUGGAUGGGCCAAACCUUCCUGAACCUGACCCCCAAGACUUACAAAGAGUCUUCUCUAUGCCCACUUUCUCACUUUCCCUACCUUCCUCCCCUGAGUUGGUGGCUCCUGCAGCUGCAUUUACCUUCAGGCCCUCCCUCCCCUCAGUACUGGGACCCACACUGCUUUCAUCCUUCAAGAGAACCCCCCCACUGGCAACAUUAGAGGCAUCUGCAUUUGAGCAGCAGCUGUUAGAAUCCACCAGAGGCAAGAUGCUCUGGUGACCUCGUGGUCACAGCAGCAGAAUGCACAGAUGGGCCAGUAGAACCUGCUCUUACAGCAACUGGCAGAGCAGAGCCAGGAGCUGGCUGAUGAUGUCAAGGCCCUCACCUGGACCCUGGAGCAACUGAUGGCUGCACACCCAGCACAGAAAGCCUUGUCCUCUAUUCCAGAUAGUGCCUCUUCUGGUAGUGUAGCCCACAGACCUGGCCAAAGGCCCUCAGGACAGCCCCCAAGGUACCUAACCAAGUCUGAAGACCUUCUGAAAGCAGACAAGAUAUAGGACUGGCCUCCAGCUCCUGCUAUGUGCUAGGCAGGAAAAAUUAGCAGAAUACUGGACCUCCAAGGGAGCCAGGAAUACUCAGAUUCCAAAGGAUGGAAGGUGCACGUAGGACAUCUUCCUGAGGUGCUCUACUGCCUUCCUGUGAGUAUGGUGACCUGGAGGGCUAAAGCCAAGGUCAACUCAAGAGUGAUACCAUUGAAGGAGGUAGAGGGAUGUUUGAGCCACGCUUCCCACUGGCAUCCCCCACUUUUGUCAUCUGGAGCUAGUGGUGUGGAGUCUAUGCAGGACACCUUCCAGCCAGGUAAGCAGGCACGGGACAGGGAAAACAGGCUCUUGCAGCUCCAGAAAUAGUAGCUCAGGUGGCUCCCUAGAAGGCCCAAGUGUGAGACAGUGUGGCUCUUGUCCUGCUUUCUAGCUGUCUACACACAGAAAACCUAGAGCCCUGUGUCGUCUUUGAUUCUGGCCCAAGAGAGCUGUGUCUAUGACUCUGGAGUUAUUUCCCUCCAAUUUUAUAUCUAUUUUAUAAGUACACAAAUAUAUAUGGAUAUAUAUUACUUGGUAUGGGAAAAGGUGCUACCUAUUAAUUUUUCUUGCAAGUUUUUUUUAACAUAAAUGCAAAAUAACAGCAUAAAAAGUGGUCCUACUGGCAAUGGUAGCGCUGACUGGUGAAUGCACUGGACUUCAUUUGCUCUGGUGGCCAUGCCUCUGCCUUUAGCCUCCUGUAGGACAUCCUGAACACCUCCUUGGCUUCAGAUCCUUCCUACCCACCAUCUCCUUUGACUGAGCACUCCCUCUGUGGGCAGCAUGAUUUCCUGUUCCUACCUGGAAGGCACAAUCUGUUGUCACAUAGUUUGGAUGACUUUUAGGAACCAGCAGGGCAGGGCAGGUAGGAGCCAGAUGUGGGAACUGGGGCCUCAGUGCCCUGGGUAUCCAGCUGACCUUGUGGAAGAAGCAGCAGGUGAGAAGCUGGUCUGAACAGGCAGUGCCUAGUCUCAGCAUUCUUGAGAUGCUGACCCAGCCAGUCGGGGCCAAAGCCAGUGUUCUUGAGAUGAAUGGAGGGAUGUUCUUGUUUUGUGAUUCAUGGGGCAGGUAGUGUAUCAGUAAUUGUGUCUGUGAAGAAACCCAGCCUUGUGGCCCCACAUUCAGCUUCUUCCAUACCAUGGCCUGGCCACCUCCAGUGCAUACCCCACAGGACACAAGUGACACUGUGUGUUCUGUACUGUGUCUCCUUAGACGGCCUUCCUCAAGAAGAUCAGUCUUUCAUCCUGCUAUGGAUCAAUCUCCAUGCCAACACCUCUGCAAAGCCUUUGUGAAUCUUCAUUCUGGAUCCUAUUUACUGAACAUAUCCAGAAUAGUGGUAUUUACCUCUCCUGUAGCAGUGAACACUUACUUGUAUUACAGUCUUAUGCUGGACACAGCCCUACACUAAUUCCAGGGUAAACCUUGAUCCUGAUCUUACACAAGUGUCUUAAUCACAGUUACACACUGAGCCUUCACCCUAGUUACAUACUGAAACCCAGUCAUGGUCACACAAUGAACCCUGUGUUUGAACCCUGACCUUGUCAUGUCAUAUCUUGAGAAACAUCCUCUGGGUUGGGCCCUGUGCUAGGUACUGAGGACACAGAAGUGAACAGGGCAGAUGAAAGGCUUCCAAGAGCUCACAGUGUGCUGCAGAAAACGCAUACUAAGCAAGUCAGUACAUAUUUAGCAAACGUUAAAACUCAGUUUAACUGCAUUCGACAGAAAACCCAGAGAAAUUUGUCUCAUAGAAAAUAGGCAUGACAGCUUUUAUAUAAAGGAAUCCUGGAGAUUGACAGUCACGGUUGGCAGGAUGGCUUUAUGGCCCCUAGAGUCUCAGAUGAAUUCAUCUCCCUUCUCCACUGUGUCUUUCAUGGUCCCAGAUGGCAUCAGGGCUCUUACCAUCACACUCAUGUUCCAGGUCGCAGGAGGCAGGGAAGGAAUGAACAAUAGCAUGCCCACUUGCCUGUAGGGUGUCUCUGCCUGAUUCUCAUCUCAACUGGCUGGAAGUUAGCUGCCCAUAAGUAAGUUACAAUAGAAACUAGGAAAUAUCCUACAUUUUAAGCCCCCCAUGGAAAUUUUGUAACUAAAAGAAAGGAGCCUAGUGGUGGGGCUAGGUACCCAACUCUCUGCCGAAUUUGAGAAGUCAGCAGAGCUGGAACUCUUGAGCCUAGAGCAGCUGUCUAAUCUGUGACCCACCUUUCCCCAUUUUUAAAGUGUUAUAAUAAAAGUAUUAAAGUUCCAUUACUUAUGUACAUAAACUAUACUGUGGUAUACAUUUUAUAUGCAGUCACACAUAAUUCCUCUUCACUCAAAGUAAAAAGGGGACAAAAAGAAAAAAAAGGUGGCCAUGGUUGGACACAGUUGGACACUCAUGGGUUGAGGAUGCUUCUCUGAAGAAAGGAUAUUCCAGUAGAGUCCUCAAAAGCAGGUCAGGUAAAAUAGCUUAUGCCUGUAAUUUUAGCACUAUGGGAGACUGAAACAUAAAGAUGAGGAGUUUGAGCCCAGCCUGGGCAACUCUACUGAGCAAGCCUCAAAAUUAAACAAACAAACAAACAAACAAAAGCUCCAGGGGUGUAAGUCAAUGUGAAGGUCCUGAGUUCAAUUCCUAGUGCUAUGACGGAGGCAGGGUCCUUAAAAGCAAGGAAAAUCUGGGGAAUAUGGUUGCACCAUGUCUGCUUUGUGGCUGAGAAGUAGAACUUUGAGUUCAGGGCAGAGCAGGUGGCACUGGUGUGUCUCCCUGAUGCCCUUGCAAGCUCUUUGCCCUCUUUCCAGGCUUAUCCAGCUGUGAGAGCAGAGAAGGAUGUGAGGGCAGGUAGGUACAGAGAAGCAGGCAAUACUGGGAAAAGCAAAUGCCUGGUCUCUGUGCUCAGUGCUGGUGGCAGGAGCAGAGCCAAGGGUGCAGGUAUGCUGCCCCCAGGCCUGGAGCUGUGGGCACUCUGAGAAGAACAGUGGAUAUUGGCUGAGUUAGAGUCAUCAGAUUUAUGUUUUUGAGGGAAGAGUGUACUGGGAAAGCUGCUGGAGUGGAGCAGCACAUCUCACAGUCUGCACUUUCUACAUUCUGUCUCCAAGGAGGGUAAAGAAACUAGAGUACAGGGCAAGUUGCUAAGAGGCUGGUAGGCUCAAUGUGAUUGUCCUAGAGCAAGGAUCUGUGGGGAUGCAUUGGGAUGCCAGGUGAGUGUCUGCCCCAACUUAGAUUUGCCCAAUAUGGAGCUGCCUGAAGGUCUUCAGGGUGAGGCCCCCUUAGGACUGACCUGGAAGGGUGGAAGCUAUGACAGUUCCCAAAGGAGUGGAGCUACUAUGUAGAAGCUAGAGAGGUUUCAGGAGGAAGGAGUGGCAGGCCAGCAGCAUCCUGUGCUGCAAGAGGACCCAACGGGCGAAAAGAGAGACAGAAUCCUGAGCUGGGGCACCAGAGGCCUCAGUGACCCAGAGGUGAUGUCCCUGUGCUCCUAUAAAGGCCUCUGGAUGUAGGGCCUUUACAGUGUGUUUCAGAUGACAGGCCAGGGUGGCCUGGAUAAUUUCCCUCAGAGUUAGAAACACCUUUCCAGGUGCCCCAUUUGGCCAGCAGUAAUACCUAGGGUGGUGGUGUGCUAGCAGAGUGAUAUUCAGGUUGGGAGAUUUCUGCAGUGGGCUGCAACCAGGUUUCUGGGGGCUAAUUCUCUGCAAUUUCCUCACAUUGUGCUGCCCUCCCAAUGAGGACAUUCCCAAUGUACCUCUUCUGUCUGACUCCAAGUGAGCAAGAUCAGGGCCCCCACCUUUGCGGGUCCUUAGAAAAGUAGAAAAUUAGACAUAUCUGAAGAAAACUCCACUACAGAACGGUUUGACAUGGAAAGAACUUGUUUUUGAGUGUUUGUAGGCUUACAAGGUGUAAGCAAGGUAGUGACGCUCUUACCUGUCACUCUUCUCUCCUCCCCGAACCAGAGUGCUGGAGUAGGAAGAAAGAGGAGGCAGAUGCCAUGAGAUUGAAGGCAGGCAUGUUUGUGAGGCCCAGUAUUCCAGCAGAAGUAUACCUUCAGGAUGAGAAUCUAGUGAAACCAAUCAGAAAUCACUGAUGGAUUAACCAUUGAAAAAAAAAAUUGGGAGAAAGAACCAUCGAUAGCCAAAAUCACGAAACUACAGUGUUAGUCACAAAACACUCCAGUCAUUGAAAAUGAUCAGACACAUAAUAUAUUUCAAUGAAAUAUUUUAAAAAAUAAAAGCAAGAAUCACAAAAAUGGGCACUAAGAGAUGAUCAGUGAUCAGGCACAUCUGGAAAGAUGCAAUAUGGCCUUUUCAAAUAAGGAACUUGAUGAAUGGGUACAUCAGUCAGAUUUCUGUCACUAUAACAAAAUUCCUGAAGCAGUUAACUUACAAAGAGAAAAAAGUUGUUUUGGUAUUAGAGUUUCCAAUUUAUGAUUAAGGGGCCCCAUGACUUUGGGCUUCUCGUAAGGCAGAAUAUCAUAAGGAGUAUAUACCAGAGCAAACCUCUCACUUUAGGCAAGAAGCAAGAAGAUACUGGGGCCCUGGAGUCCCUUUUGAGGACACACUCCCAGUGACCCAAGGCAAUAAUUUAUUUCCAUUAGUCUUCAUCUCCUUUGCCUUCUACCAGCUCACCUGCACCACCCUCAUGGCCUUGCAAGCUUUUUAUACAAGCUUCUAACACAUGGGCCUUGGGAGGGCACUAUCCAUAGUCAAUGUAUAGCAUAUGGAUUAAGCAGCAUAUUAGACCUAGCAUAUUAAGUAAGAAGGACCUAAUGGGAAUAUGUCUAAGGAAACUGCAAUCUUGCAGAGAUAGAAUAUAUACAAACUAUGGCAGAAAUUAAAAGAUGUAGAGUAGUCAGAAAUUCAGCACAUUCCUAAUGUGACUCCAUGACUACACACAUGAAGCAUGAGGGUGGCCAGAAUCACAGGAAAGAUAUGCAUCUGUACAUAUCCUGAGGAAACGGGAACUCCACAGGGAGAGGGAGGGAAGGCAAGUGGGUGGCAUUUUUCUGACAGAUCACUUUACAUCAUCAGUAAUACAAGCCAGAAAAGAGUGGUUCCUAUGAAAACAUGAGCAAAAAUCACUGAUUAUUUGUAAUUCUGAAACCAAUGAAACUUUCUUCAAGAACAAAGAUGAAUUGUAGACAUCUCAUAAAGAGAACUGCAAGAAUUUAUUGCUAAGAGACUUUCACAAAGAAUUGACUUUUGGAUGGAGGAACUAAUCCAAGAAGGAGGAUCUGUGAUACAAGAAGAGUAUCCUGCAAAUAGGUAAACAGAGGCAGGAGGACACUGUCAUCCUUGGAGCACAUGGUCUGAUGGAAGAGGCACUGUGUAGUCCCUGCAGGUGUCUCUGUGUACAAGGGUACAUUCAGCCGAGCACAGAGAAAGAAUGUUCCUGAGCAGGGCUCCUGCCAGGAUGUUGGGCAGGUGGGAUGGGCUUGGCUUGUACCUAGUGACUGUACGGUCUCUGGGCCUCAUGCUGUCCCCUUCUGUCCUGGCCCCACCCUGCCCUCUGUGUACCUUUACACUGGCUGUCUUUGUUCUGCCCCUGCUUUUUAAACGAGAAUGUCCCUGAGCCCCUGCAGCCCCAAUCAUCUUUUUAGGUCCCCACUCCUUAGGUACCCAUGGGGGUUUCCACACAGAGCCUGGGCUUUCAGACCCAGCUCUGCAGCCCAGAGGGUGAUCCCAUUCUACUCCUGGUUCUGCCCAGCUCUUGGCCUAUGCCCACUAUAGAACAUGAGUGCUCCUCAGAACAAAGGCUAGGCUGGUGAAACAGUCUAUAGGGACCCCAUCCUGGUUUUUGGGGUGUCCAGAAAAGGGCCUAAGACCAGCAUCAGGGGGCCUUCUCUUCCUGGUAGGGGAAUGAAAGGGGACCAGAGAUACAGCAAGAGCCCAGCAGGGCCUGAUGGUCUAAGCAGUCAUGUAUGUCUAGCCUGAUUGGGUCUUAGAGUGGGGAAAGUACUUGGUCAAGCCUUCCUGGGUCCCAGCUUCUGUCACACUAGGGCCUCUAGGGUCAGGAAGGCAUCUUGCUCAGAUCCUGCCCAGCCCUAAGGCAAAGCCCAGGCAGCAGUCAGCUCCCGUCUCUGCUGAGUGGCUGAAUCUAGGUGAGUAGAUCAGAGCUAAGGGUCUCACUGUCCCUGCCUCACAUGUGAAGAGUCUUGACUGCCUGCACCCUGCAGACUAAGCACCCACAGGAGCUCCCUGGUGCAGCACCUAAGCAGUAGGGCCUUGUCAGAAUCAAAGGCACUUGCUUCCCUUUUCUUUCAGGUGUGAGCACAAACAAUGUGGUCACUUACUAAAGCAUAAGGUUCAAUGGCUACUAUUGAUUAGAGGGCUCCAGGUUGCACGUGGCAGAAGAAAGGCAAUUUUCCCCUUCAGCUCAGCUCAGCAAACAUCUUCUGAGUGCCUACUGUGAGCCUAUACUUGGGCUGAGUGUAUAGCACUGUUCUCUGGCCAGGAAGAGGUCUGAGGUCUUCAUCCUCCAUUUGCUGUCCUCUUAGCAAGGAUGCAGAGAGUGGGUGCCCUAAGGACUUUGUGCCACUCAAUCUACACACCUACCCAGUGGGCUUGGAAAGCUGAGGAUUUGUCCAGGUUCAGCUGGCAACAAAGAUUCACCUGUGACGUUUGACCCCACAGCCUGGCACCUUCAGCCUGGAAGAGCAUGUUCUACACUUGGGCCACUGGCUGUGAGCGUAGGCCCUGUGAUUGGGGGACUUUGCUUUUCUCCAGCAGUAGUGAUGUGGCAUGGAACUGGGCUCAGAGCAUGGGCUUUGGCUAUAUGGAUAUGUUCACUUUUAAAAUUUUUUUAUUUUAAAAACAAAACAAGGUCACAUUAUUCACACCACUCUGCUUAGAUUUUAUUCUGUCCCAGUUUGUCUACUUGCAUUAGAUUUGAGGGCACAGACAGCUAUCCCAAAAACAUCAGGAUAUAGCACAGUAAUCAUCUUUAAUUUCCUAUUAUCUUAAUCUGGAGCCCUGUAUUAUACUGUUUUAUCAUGACUGAUCUUAGUUAAAUCUGGUUUGUUUGAUUGCUGUUUGGUAUUGACAGAUUUUAUUCAAAACUGAUAUGAUAAUACCAAGUCUGAGAGUAUAGGCAACUACACUGAAGAUGACAAAACUCUACGAUACAUAUUCUGGUUUGAUUACUGCCUGUUUUUGAAGUUCUAUACUAUAUACAAAGUUGUAUUUUUAUUAAUACUGUUAUGUACUGAUAUAUUCAAUUAUACUAUGUCUGAUGAUAUAGCCAAUUCUACUGAAGAUAACAAGAGACAACACAGGAACUAUGUGAGAACUUCUUGUACAAUGGGCUUAUAUAUCUUUUUCAUUUCAUGUGUUUAUAGGAAUAUUUUUUGUUUUGUCUUGCUUUUUGUUUCUCCCUCUAAUAUAGAAAGGAUAGAAAUACAUAUUAAGACUCAGGCAUGUGUAGCAUCUAUAAACAGUUUAUGAGAAUUGAUCUUAUGACACAUGAUGAAAUGGAGAGAUACUUUGAAGAAAAAGAGACACUAAAGUACCCAGUGCUGAUCCUGGAAUGUCAUAAUGUGAAACCCAGCAAUAGUAUUAUUCUUUGUUCAGAGUGAUAUUAGCCUGCUUGGGUUUGUUCAAUCUCAACAUAAUUGAAGAUAUGGAUAACUGCAUGUAUGUUGAAGUGUAUAGGAUUGAUAACCAUAUUUCUAAGUUUUUAUUGAAUAGUUGAACUGAACUGGUUGCAGUCUCACUGUUUGAAUCCCCACUUUAUAUGCUCCACUUUAGUAUCUUGAAUAACUAUUUGUAAGACGACAAUCUGUAAUCUUCAACUAAUGAUCUGUUUAUUUUUUCUUUGAAAAGUAUGUAUUAUUUCUACCCAUGUUCUAUUUUGUUUAGUGUUUCUUUAAAUAAAUUUUUUUUUUAAAAGUCA
Molecule: long non-coding RNA, 9701 nt
Organism: Cavia porcellus (domestic guinea pig)
Lineage: Eukaryota; Metazoa; Chordata; Mammalia; Rodentia; Caviidae
Exons: 2
Source: RefSeq, a predicted model, not a curated record